This 693-nucleotide long non-coding RNA is filed under the name Homo sapiens (human). RNAcentral's name for it is "non-protein coding lnc-FBXO15-7:1". The record is from RNAcentral. Lineage: Eukaryota; Metazoa; Chordata; Mammalia; Primates; Hominidae.
UCCUUCUCAUAGGGUGUUGACGUUUUCUCUAAAUCCUUCUUACUCAAAGGCAAAUUUGAAAUUGUUUUACUUAUAACGGGGAUACAGGUUAAAUGAUAAAUGCCACAUAGUGGGCAUAUGUUUCAGGCCAGGUGCUAUGCUCAGAGUUCACACCUGCCUGAUACUGUGAGGAUUGGGCUACAGAUUCUAAACCACACUCUCCAUAGAGGACAUGGCAGGUGAGCGGCUGGCUUCUGUGGGUCUGGGCCUGGUGGGUUAGUGUGGGCUGCAUGGCCCCAAGGCUGGGAGCUGUGUUGGGAUCUGGUGGCAGGGGGUUUAUCUGACAACCUCACUAUUCCAUGUCUCCUCUCUGUGUGGAGGAAUGGGAUGCAGCGAGGAGACCAGGCUGGAGUUCUGUAGAGUGUAAAAUCCUGGAUGUCCUCUCAGCCUGUCUCCUUGAGAGGACCUGCUGCCUGCCCUUCUGGAGCACGUCAUUCUCUUCUUGGAUGACCAAAUAAAUCAUUCAAGAGUGAAAUGAAAACUCCUUAUCUCCUUAUAGGAUCUGAGCUCAGUGAUGAGAAGUGGAAGGACAAUAAUUGACCAAUCACACAUUUAAAUGAAUAAAUUAGGCCGUUGGUGUUCAGCAGCAAUUUCAUGCCAUAAUUGACAAUAAAUAGCAAUUUUGAAAAUCAUCCUGCAAUGUACACUCAGCCA